AUAGAGUUGGCAGAAAUAAUGUGAAUAAUUUAGGUUUAUUUUAUAAGAAACAAUCUUACUCUAUA
RNAcentral lists this transfer RNA (65 nucleotides) under Sepietta oweniana. Its description in RNAcentral is "tRNA-Leu". Lineage: Eukaryota; Metazoa; Mollusca; Cephalopoda; Sepiida; Sepiolidae. The record is from RNAcentral.